RNAcentral lists this long non-coding RNA (806 nucleotides) under Aedes aegypti (yellow fever mosquito). Its description in RNAcentral is "lncRNA AAEL021028". The record is from RNAcentral. Lineage: Eukaryota; Metazoa; Arthropoda; Insecta; Diptera; Culicidae.
CAUUUUGACAUGAUAUUUCUUUAAAAAUAAAAUAAAAGUUAAUACUUCGACGUAAUGAACAAAAACUAGGAACAGUGCAAAUUUGUUCAUUCGUCCUAUUGCGCAUAAGGUCGAAAGUAACAAAAACGCCUAAUUCCGAUAAAACGUGUAUUCGACCUUUUGUCACCAAAGGUCUUAUGAGCGACAGCUGUCAAAAUAAAUGGAAAAGCUGAUACGACGCACCUGUAGUAUUGAUUUUGCCUCGUUAAACAGUUUUUUUUACAAUGAGUGACUUAAAUUCAAUGCCAGAAGCUGCGAUUUUUCGAAAACAAAUCGUUUGGUUUGAUAAAAGGAAUUUACGGAAGAACAUUCCUAUGGAAAGACCCCAACUAAAGACCCGCCAGAUCGCAGAUUAGUAAUCUCUUCACUUGAUGGUUCUAGUGGAAAAACAGCAUCGGGAUCGAUUCCAUCGAUGGGAAUGAGCAUCCAUUCGCCAUCCUACCUUCAAGCGAAUCCAGUAACACUGAUUCCAUGACAAAACCGGUCCGCACCGGCUGAGCAACUGAAAACAUCAAUCCCCUUGCCAAUGCUUGGAUGAACACCAAACAAUCCCUUCAUCUUUCCUGACACGUGUUCGUCCGGUAAUUCACCAGCUUCGUAUAUGCUGACUUCAUCAGACGGUAGCCCAGGCCUUGAAACUGAGUCCUUAAAAACGAGUUAUGAAGAGUUGAAUGUGUUCUGAAACUAAACAGAUCGAAGAUUUAUUAUUGAAAACUUUUUUUUAAAUAACUAAACUUAUUUUUAGAGAGCCGUUAGUCUCUUCUAUU